This is a long non-coding RNA of Echinops telfairi (small Madagascar hedgehog), 238 nucleotides long. RefSeq lists it as uncharacterized. The transcript is spliced from 3 exons. The record is from RefSeq and is a predicted model, not a curated record. NCBI's taxonomy places the organism in Eukaryota, Metazoa, Chordata, Mammalia, Afrosoricida, Tenrecidae.
ACUUCUUCCGUUCUUCAUAAAACCUCUCUUGGAUCACAAGCCAGGCUUCGGAGUGAAUUUCUUCUCAUGCGAGGCCAAGAAUCAAGGAUGGCAUCUAUUAGUCCAGCUGUGAGGAUUCUGGUGUUUUUUUUCAGAGUUGCAGCCUAUACUGAAGGCUUACAUAUUCAUCAGCAAAUAUUUCAGGGUCAUCACCAGUAAAGGAAGUUUUGUUUACAUAAUGGUUAAAGGAAGAAAUAAC